Molecule: ribosomal RNA, 492 nt
Filed under: uncultured bacterium
Lineage: Bacteria
Description: bacterial SSU rRNA
Rfam family: Bacterial small subunit ribosomal RNA
Source: RNAcentral
GAACGCUAGCGACAGGCCUAACACAUGCAAGUCAGGGGCAGCACAAGGAGCAAUCUGAGGUGGCGACCGGCGCACGGGUGAGUAACACGUAUGCAACCUGCCUGUAAGCGGGGAAUAACCCGCUGAAAGACGGACUAAUACCGCAUAAUACUAAAUUACUGCAUGGUAAUUAUUUAAACAUUUAUGGCUUACAGAUGGGCAUGCGCAUGAUUAGCUAGUUGGAGAGGUAACGGCUCCCCAAGGCAACGAUCAUUAGGGGUUCUGAGAGGAAGGUCCCCCACACUGGUACUGAGACACGGACCAGACUCCUACGGGAGGCAGCAGUGAGGAAUAUUGGUCAAUGGACGAGAGUCUGAACUAGCCAAGUCGCGUGCAGGAAGAAUGUUCCCUAUGGAUUGUAAACUGCUUUUGCAGGGGAAUAAAGUGCAUCACGUGUGAUGUUUUGUAUGUACUCUGCGAAUAAGGAUCGGCUAACUCCGUGCCAGCCGCCGC